Molecule: transfer RNA, 76 nt
Filed under: Azospirillum sp. CAG:239
Lineage: Bacteria; Pseudomonadati; Pseudomonadota; Alphaproteobacteria; Rhodospirillales; Azospirillaceae
Also listed under: 2 other names
Description: transfer RNA-Trp(CCA)
Rfam family: tRNA
About the family: Transfer RNA (tRNA) molecules are approximately 80 nucleotides in length. Their secondary structure includes four short double-helical elements and three loops (D, anti-codon, and T loops).
Source: RNAcentral
AGGGGUAUAGCUCAGCUGGUAGAGCAUCGGUCUCCAAAACCGAGGGUCGUGAGUUCGAACCUUACUGCCCCUGCCA